Molecule: long non-coding RNA, 312 nt
Organism: Symphalangus syndactylus (siamang)
Lineage: Eukaryota; Metazoa; Chordata; Mammalia; Primates; Hylobatidae
Source: RefSeq, a predicted model, not a curated record
AAGAAAAGGGCAUAUUCCCUUUCCUCUCUCCCUUAUUUUCCAGCUAGACUCUGGACAAGGUGCUGAGCUAUCUUGAAUCGUACAGUUGAGGACAAUACUCUAAGGAUGGUUCUGCAUGGAAUCCAACGCUCAUAUGAUACAUCUGAGCUGCCCAAGCCAUUUUUCUGUCGUGUCCUACCCAGGAGUGAUCUACUAAAAACAAGGGAUUCUAGAGAUAUAAUUUUCAAUAUUUUCAUGAAAAGGGGCUAUUUUGAUUCUUCACAGAAGCACUCAGGAGAGGAAGGUUUGAAAUUAUUUUAGAGUCUCCUGCCA